This 297-nucleotide unclassified non-coding RNA is filed under the name uncultured fungus. Its description in RNAcentral is "partial contains 5.8S ribosomal RNA, internal transcribed spacer 2, and large subunit ribosomal RNA". The stretch from base 1 to 52 matches the Rfam family "5.8S ribosomal RNA", at positions 103 to 154 of the family's 154-position model. The record is from RNAcentral. Lineage: Eukaryota; Fungi.
AACGCACCUUGCGCUCCUUGGUAUUCCGAGGAGCAUGCCUGUUUGAGUGUCAUUAAAUCAUCAAUUCUCAACUUCUGUAAUGGUCGUUGUUGAAUUGGACUUGGGGACUUGCUGGUUCUAAUGCUGAAUUGGCUUCCCUCAAAUGCAUUAGCUGAAGUCUUACAAGCAGCGUAUAUGCGGUGUGAUAAUAUCUUAACUGUAUUGCUCUUGUUGAAAUCAGCUUCUAAGUGGUCCUUCAAUUGGACAACGCUUUGACAAUUUGACCUCAAAUCAGGUAGGACUACCCGCUGAACUUAA